UAGCAUACCCUUGUCCCAAAAAUUAACCCAUGCAUGUCUAAGUAAAAAAAUUUCUAUAUUGGAAGCUGCAAAUGGCUCAUUAUAUCAGUUAUAGUUUAUUUGAUGAUCCCCCUAUAUGGAUAACCGUAGUAAUUCUAGAGCUAAUACAUGCCCCUAACCCCCACUCACAAAGGGGUGGGUUUAUUAAAUUGAAACCAAUGCAAGUUUACUCGGAUUUAUGGUGAUUCAUAAAAACUUUCAAAUCGGCUCUGCCGAUCCUUCAUUCAGGUUCCUGCCCUAUCAGUUCUGGAUGGAAGGGUAUUGGCCUACCAGGGCUUUACCGGGUAACGAAAAAUUAGGGUUCGAUUCCGGAGAGGGAGCCUGAGAAACGGCUACCACAUCCAAGGAAGGCACCAGGCGCGAAAAUUACCCAAUCCUGACACAGGGAGGUAGGGACAAUAAAUAACAUGGCAGGGCUUUUCUAAGUCUGGCCCUCGGAAGGAGAACAAUUUAAACCCCUUAUCUAGGAUCACUUGAAGGGCAAUCCUGGU
RNAcentral lists this ribosomal RNA (530 nucleotides) under uncultured eukaryote. RNAcentral describes it as "bacterial SSU rRNA". It matches the Rfam family "Eukaryotic small subunit ribosomal RNA", at positions 25 to 565 of the family's 1831-position model. The record is from RNAcentral.